GGCUCGGUAGCAUGCAGUGUGCAUCUUCCAUUGUUGAGACAGUAAUAACGGUGUAUAAGCAGAAGAUCCCGGUUCGACUCCGGGCUGAGCCA
This is a non-coding RNA of Mycena leptocephala, 92 nucleotides long. NCBI's taxonomy places the organism in Eukaryota, Fungi, Basidiomycota, Agaricomycetes, Agaricales, Mycenaceae. The record is from the annotation of a GenBank genome assembly.